Molecule: ribosomal RNA, 253 nt
Filed under: uncultured bacterium
Lineage: Bacteria
Description: partial 16S ribosomal RNA
Rfam family: Bacterial small subunit ribosomal RNA
Source: RNAcentral
UACGUAGGGUGCAAGCGUUGUCCGGAAUCACUGGGCGUAAAGCGCACGCAGGCGGAUUGAUAAGUCAGGGGUGAAAUCCCGGAGCUCAACUUCGGAAUUGCCUUUGAUACUGUCUGUCUUGAGUCCGGGAGAGGUGAGUGGAAUUCCUAGUGUAGAGGUGAAAUUCGUAGAUAUUAGGAAGAACACCAGUGGCGAAGGCGGCUCACUGGCCCGGUACUGACGCUCAUGUGCGAAAGCGUGGGGAGCAAACAGG